AUGGUCGCCGGGCAUGGUAUCCUCGCCGUGGUCACUGUCCUGCUCGUACUUCCGUCAGCCCGUCCUCUAGAGGACAGCACGUGCGACCCCAGCACCACCUUCGCGCCCAACAGCACCUAUCAGGCGAACCUGAACCUCCUCGCCGCGGCGCUCCCGGGCAACGCCUCCUCCGCGCCGGCCGGCUUCGCCACCCUCUCCGCCGGCACGGCGAGCCGGGCCUACGCGAUGGCGCUCUGCCGCGGGGACGUCAACGCCUCGUCCUGCGCCGCCUGCGUGUCGCUGGCGUUUCGCGCCGCCGGCCAGAGCUGCCCCAACAACACGGGCGUCACCAUGUACGAGGACGACUGCGUCCUCCGCUUCGCCAACCGCCAGUUCUUGGACUUCCUCAACGCCGACCAGUGGCAGGCCGGCGAACUCAGCAUCCAAACCACAACGGCUGACGGGAGCGUUCCGGCGGUCGCGGUUUCCUGGUUCAGCGCCGCGGCCACAACCAUCCUCACCGCCGUGUCUGCUGCUUCGAGCAACUCGACCUCCGGCGCCGGCGACGCCCAGAAGCAGUACUUCGUCACGGGCGAGGUUGACUUCGACCCCAGGAUCUACGCGCUCGCGCAGUGUGCGCCGGUCCUGACGCCGGAGCAGUGCAGCAGUUGCCUCGGGCAGCUCCUUGUGCAAAUCAAAGUCGAUCUGAGCACCAAACCCCCAUGGGUUACAUCACGUGUGGAGUGGUGCGACCUGAGGUAUGACGUGCGGCCGUUCUACGAGGGCCAGGCCAUGCUGCAGCUUCAGGCGCCACCUCCGCCGUCAUCUGCUACUCCGGAGACCCGAGCAGAGAAGAAAAAGAGUAGUGCAGUAGGGAUCUCUGUGGGCAUUGUUUGUUCGCUUGUAUUGAUAUUGAUCCUUUCGGCUUUGGCGUUCAUUCGCUUCAGGAGAAGGAUCAACAAGGCAACCGAGCAAGACAACCCAUUCAAGAAAAUCUCGAGAGCGCAGUGCGUGAUCUACGAUUUGCCUGCGCUGCAAGAGGCAACUGAUAACUUCUCGCAGAGGAAUAAGCUCGGAGAAGGUGGUUUUGGUGCUGUGUACAAGGGGAUACUCCCGGACGGGCAGGAAAUAGCAGUGAAGAAACUUCUGGGAACAGCUGGGCAUGGUUUGGAUCAGCUGCACAAUGAGGUGCUGAUGCUGGCAGAACUUCAGCACAAGAACCUUGUUCGGUUACACGGGUUUUACUCGCAUCGGGAUGAUACACUUCUUGUUUAUGAGUACAUCAAGAAUGGGAGCCUUGACAACUUUCUAUCUGAUGAUACCAGAGAGGAAGAACACACACUAGUUUGGGAGCAGCAGUACAACAUCAUCAUUGGCAUUGCCAAGGGAAUAUUGUAUCUUCACGAGGACUCGAGCAUGAGGAUUAUCCACCGGGAUCUGAAACCCAACAACAUACUUCUUGAUGACGACAUGGAACCGAAAAUUGCUGACUUUGGGUUGGCAAGGCUGCUUGGCGAAGGUCACACACAUACCAAGACAUCUGGAGUUGUUGGAACACUAGGUUACAUGGCUCCGGAGUACGCGAUACAUGGACGUGUGUCACCCAAGAUUGACAUUUUCAGCUACGGUGUAUUAGUCCUCCAAAUCGUUACUAGGAGAAGGGAGUGUUGGUCUGCAGAUGGCAACACUGUGAAUCUCCUCACUGAGGUAUGGAAUCACUGGAAAAAGGGAACAAUCUCGCAAAUGAUGGACCAAGCACUCGAUCAACAUACUCGAAGCCAACAGCUGCGAUGUGUGCACGUCGGGCUGAUGUGUGUCCAAGCAGACCCGGACCACAGGCCUGAGAUAUCGACCGUCAUUUUCAUGUUAACCAGGGACAACAUGGAGCUUCAGCUACCAAAGGAACCUGCAUUCUUCUUCGGGAGUGAGCCAACUUCUGAUUUCGUGUCGGGAGAGGACAUUUCUGUGAAUGAGGUUUCAUUUACAGAGCCGUACCCUAGGUAA
This 1983-nucleotide ribosomal RNA is filed under the name Triticum aestivum (bread wheat). Its description in RNAcentral is "partial small subunit ribosomal RNA". Lineage: Eukaryota; Viridiplantae; Streptophyta; Magnoliopsida; Poales; Poaceae. The record is from RNAcentral.